GGGGUGCAACUGAAGGUACAGCAUUUGCCUGCAGGCCAAGCGGUCUCUGGUUCAAAUCCAUGUGCCUCC
RNAcentral lists this transfer RNA (69 nucleotides) under Homo sapiens (human). Its description in RNAcentral is "tRNA-pseudo Likely pseudogene". The record is from RNAcentral. Lineage: Eukaryota; Metazoa; Chordata; Mammalia; Primates; Hominidae.